CACGACGUAGAAAUAAGUUUUUAUGAGUUACCAAUUUUAUUUUGGUUCAAAUCACAUUCGAACCUGUUAUACAUAACUUUUAGAAAGUUUUUGAUUUCAUUCUGUCUUUUCACUCAUGUUUACUGUUUAUUUCUAUUUUAUUGUCAACAUGUUUGUUUGUCUAUGUGUAUUAGGUCUUUCUGAGUGUGGUGCCUGCUUGUUUGUAUGUCUCUGUGAAGGUGAUGUAUGUAUGUGUGUGCAAGGAGUAUAUAUGUAAAUCAAAACGUAUGUGAGAAUAAAUUUGUUAUGAUGGUAAUAUUUGUUGAUUAGAAAUUCAUCGAUGCUCUGCGGUGUUUUGUUUCCCAUAGUAAGGAAUUACUCUCGCCAUCAAUCGGUAGCAUUCAUCUGAAUUCUUUUUUGCCAUCGCUGGAGAAUCCCCCAGAUGCAAGCGAUGUUCCAAAAGACGCUCUGAAAAUAUCUUGUAUUAGAUCAAGCAAUCAUAAGUACAUUGACUAAUUUACCAGCUAUGUAUUCUACUUUGUUCGGCUCUAAAGCAAUACGACCUUCAACAGUUGGUUGAAGAAAUGGCCCUUCUACUUGAGAUUUAACCCGUCUUCCAAGCGGAUUAUUUGAAAGCCGCCCUGUAACUGAUCGACCAUACAGUCCUUUAGGCCACAAUUUGAGCAUAAGCAAUUUUAUAAAAACAUAAUCACUCCUAUGGCCAGCAUCAGAGAAUUUCUUCAGUUGUUCCUGAUUCGGAAAUCCCUGAACCUCGGUGAAGGCUGGCUUGUGUUGUAGCCCAACAACCUUAGCACUCAGUGCAUCCGAUAAGCUUCUACAUCUCAUCGUAGCAUCCGAAUAUUUUGCACGAACUUUGUGAAUUGCAUCCUUCAACCGUUUGUUUUCUUUUAUGAUCUCAUUGAUUUCCUUUUGCUGACCACAAGUGCAUUCUGUAAUUAAAAAUUAAUUUUGAAAUACAGAAAUCCUGAAUACUAUAGCAAAAAUUUAUAUGGUGACAACAGUUAUUUAUAAUAUAAAUUUCCAAAAUAAUAAAACAUUUUAUUCCUGAUUUUCCCAUUGUUAAGGUAAACUUUUGUAGUUUUAAUAAAAAAAAGGAUUUUUAAAAAAAGGGGCUUUUUUACAUAAUUGUUUUUAAUUUUUCUUUAUACCAUAUUUGUUAUAUGAUUUUUUCGAGUGUAUGUAUUUUUGGAAAGACAAACUGUCCAUAAACGCAUAAGAGUCACACUGCCAAAAAUACAACUAAGUAAAACGCAGUAGACGCAAGUGAACCAUUGUAUUUUUUCCGUGCUAUUGAUUCAAUCAAAAGCAAAAAAUCAAAAACAAGCAGUCAUUCGAGGUACCGUAAACUGGGGUGGCUUUGAUCACCGGGGUGACUUUGAUCACUGUACCUCUUUUUUGAAAAGGUAGUAAGAAAGCACUCGUAGUGCUUGGGAUUUGUCGUAAUCUUCACUUAUUGUGUGGAUAUAUGUUAGCGUUGCUACUAUUCAUGCAUUUCCUGCUAUUUAAAAAAUGUUUUCCAUGCUAAAAUAUUAAUUGAAAAUAAAGUGUAUUUUUAGCGAUUUUUGUUGCAUACAAACAAUUGGCCCAAGCAGGUUCAAAACAACAAGUUGCAAUACGUAAAGUUUUCAUAUUUUAUUCCCAGAUUAGUUCUUAAGAUGAACAAAUGUUAUAACAAUACAUUUUAUUGUCAUUUUUGCAAGUUUUUCCUCGAAGGCAAUGUUGAAUCCCAAUAUUCUCCACAGCGUAUUACAUAUUUCUUCUUAACAAAAACCCAAGACGUGAAGUAACAUGCAAAUUUGGACAAUUGCAUAAGUCGUAUUCCUCGUGGACUAGUUUUUGAUGAUUUUAGAAUACCUUCCCUCUCCGUAGAUAAUCAUUCAUAUAUAUUCUAAAAAUUUUGUAUGAAACUUGGACAUUCGCCAUUAUAAAUUGUUCACGUAGAAUGUGAAUGGCCCCCAAACUGCUUUCCGUAUUUAAAACUCUUUUAAGUCGUUUUAGGCUGUUCGAUUUAGUGAAAGUAGCGAAGUUUUACUUCAAAUUCAUCAAAACAAUGAAGUGAUCAAAGUCACCCCGGAGUAAUGAUUUGUAAAAAAUUUUUAGAGCAUAUUUAAAAACAGCAAAAUUGUUGCUAAACUUUUGAAGUGAUGACUGAAUCUUUCUCAGUGCAUGCCAGUACUUAUUUUAAAAAUAUCAAAGAAUAUUGUUUCCAGUAUAUUCUAAAAAUAUUUGAGAUACAAUCAAAAAAGUGACCAAAGUCACCCCAGUUUACGGUACAUAUAUAAGGGAGUAUACUUUUAUAUGCAAUAAGAUAUUUGUUGUUUUGAAUAGUACACUUCUUUUUGGUCUUUUAAUGAAUGUUACUAUUAUUUUCUACUAAUUAUUUUCAGUGUUGAGCCUGUUUUGCGUUUAUUUGUAACAUGGGACUGACCAAAAUUCAUAUUUUUUUCAUUAUUUCAGCAACAAACAUAGCUUUUUUGGGAUUUUUCGAGAGCACACGUAAUGCAAAGAAGUUUCUGAGAUUUAUCUCAGAAGCGACGAAAAUUUACAUGGGACUGUUAUGCAUUUAUGGGCAGCAAAAUUGUUAUCUACAGCUUUGCCGGAGACGUCACACCGAUUCAACUAUUUAAAAUAUUUGUAAUCAUCAAUACCUUCCCAACAUAGUUUUUCAAAAAUGAAUUGUGUUCCAAAAGUUGAACCAAUAGCACAAAAAUGGCAUUUUUUGCACAAAGAAACAUUUAUGCAAAGUUUCAGCGAAAUCAAAAAUGACAAUUGAAAAAAAAAUAAAAAUUAUGACAUUUUAUGUGGAACUGCUUUAAAAAGAACCUAUGCUAAAUUAUUCAAAUUGCAAUUCUUUACUCGUUAUUUCUUUGACUUACCGAUUAUAUCCUUCUUUUGCUUCUUGCUUUUCGGAUGGUAGAUGAAAAGGUUAGAUGAUUCCGAUUCCGAGUUGCAUGACAGUUCAUCUGAGUAAUCUGUAUCAGACGAUUGAUCUUCUAAUACCUAGAAUUUAAUUGGUUAUUGAAAACUAGGAAUAGGACCAAAUAAAAUUAAAUAUUACCAUUUCUUUUUGUGCAGACGUUUCUGGAUUAGAGUCAGUUUGUUCAGGCAUCAACUGCAGUGUUUAUCGCAAAUACUGAGCUUCGAGACGGAAUUCGAAGAACUCGAACGAUGUGGUGUGAGAUUUUUUGCUACGGAAUUUAUUCCUUUAAACUAAAAAGAAUUUAUUUGAGAAAUUUGAGUUUGCAAUUUCAACAAACACAGCAACAUUUAAAAUAGUUACCUUCAUAGCCUUUUGUUUCGUUGAGUUUACUUUUAGUUGUUCCGUAGUGUAAGUUUGAUGCUCUACUCCAUCACCAGUAUUAUAGCAGACAGAAUCAUUCAACUUGAUGUUACGUCCGCAAUGAGAUUGCUCUUGACGUACGAUAGCUGCUUGCUUUCCUUCCUCCUUCCUUUCAAGGGCUUUGAAAUCUGCGUUUCCCGAAUCAGGAACCUAUAGUAUAGACGUUGAUUUUAUUUUUUAUCUAAAUUUUGACGAACAUACGUACCAUUUUCAUUAGCACAACUUUUAGUUCCUUCUUUAGGCGCAUCUCGUCUGAUUUUUCUAAAUCUUGUUUAGCUUCAUUAUUUUCACUUAUCUGGCACUUAUUGCUUUGUAAAGAUUGUAAAUUUUCACGAAUGGCUCGAGCCAGGAGCCUUUUUCUCGCUGCAGCAUUUUUUCCAGCCAUUUUUGUGGCUUAUGCAAUAAUAAAAAUGAAUAGUCACUAGGUUACAGUCUGGCAGUUGAAAACACUGUUUUUUCUAGGGGCUGGACAACUUUACUUUCAUGAAACAUAUUUCGGUAAUAUUAUACGAUAUUGGUUAAUAUAUUUUGAUAUUUAUCAUUUAUCUGCCACAUUUACUGCUACAGAAAAUUUUUGUUAUAAUAUCAUUAUGAACUUUUCGAAUGAUUUGGGUUUUUUUUUUGGAGUUAGAUUAUUUAUUUUCACGUCCAGCGUAGUUAAUAACCCAAUUAUCAAAAAAAUGGCACUUGGUUCGGUCUGGUCGCACGCCGAUCAUAUUAGAUUGGAAAUAUUUGGCAAUAUAUUAAUGAUGUCUUGCCCGUUCACUGAUUUUUUUCCGAAGUCAAACGCAAUGCAUGAAGAUUAUUUGCGCACAUUGCGCAACAAAACAUGACUGCUUGCCCAAGACUUGGUGAAAAUAUUCCAGUAACUGAACAUUCGUUCAACUUUAGUAACUAGAUGUGUACAAAGUUUAUAUCGCAUAUUACAUUUUUGUUAGAUUUGAAUCUCAAUAUUACUAUAAUACAUUUUUCACACCGAUUGAAAAAUAUUAAUGUUUGAAUGCGAAACUAGAGGCAAGACAAUUUUAUUUUCAUGAAAACUGUUUCAGUAAUGUUAUACGAUAUCGGUUGAUAUAUUUUGAUAUUUAUCUUUUAUCUGGCAUGUUGAUAUCAGUCCAAUGAUAAUGUGCAAAAAUGCAAUGAUAAAUACUUUGUAACGCCGAAUAUUGGAAAUAUUCCGCAAUAUACCAAUGGUGUCUUGCCCCUAGACACGAAACCAUGUUUGAAUUGAUUUUCAUAGUUUCUAUCGGCCAGACUAUACACCUAAGUAAUUAUACAAACAAACUCAUGGAUCACGUGACCACGUCAGACAAUGCUGCCAGAGCUGCCAAUGUUACAAUUUAAACUAAAUUCUUCCAGUUUUAAAUCACUAAAUAAUCUAGUUUUUCUAUACGUUUCUAUACGUAUCCAGGUUUUUUAUUUGCACAAGUUUCCGGUGGUAAAUACUUAGAAAUAUUCUCGCGUGAAACUCAGCCAAAUUGAUGGCAACACAUGGUGAGAUAGAGCUUCCGUUCCAGUUUGCCAGCAUAGGGAUGGGCGAUACUGACAAAAGUAUCGAUACUUUGGUAUCGCGAUGCUUCAAUGAACUUCGAUACCAGGUAUCAGAGUAUCGAUUGAAGGAGCAUCAAUUAUCGAUGCUUCGAUAGUAUCGGUAUCAGACCUACAUUUUUUUUUUUCAAAAAGCGGCGUUCAGAAAGUAUCGAUACCGGCACUCAUUUCUCGCGGAGAGUAUCGAUGCCAAAAUACUCGAUGCCGCGACCCCCAUUAUCGAUACCGCUGGUAUCGAUGCUAGUAUCACUCAUCCUCAAGUUUUGGUCAACAAAAACAAGUGAAGUGAUUACAAUUUUUUUGUAAUUAUGUGGUGACUAAAACGAUCAAAAUAAGUCAGGCCGCGACAUUAUUAUUUAAUCAAACGCAGGUGUAACCGGAAGUAUAUUAAGAAGAACAACUUUCAACCACAAGCACCAAUGGUUAACAAUCAGAAUACAGUUUCGGAAACACCAAUUAGCACUGCCUACUAUCAGGAAGUGGAAGGUGAAAUCCCGGUCAAUAGAAAUGAUUCGACAAAUGAUGUUCACACAAAUAAAAGCCAAAAAGAUUCCGAACCCACUUCCGCUGCAAAAAUGACAGUUGAUUUUGAUUCUGAGGAUGAUAUUGAUACAGGGAAUGAAAAUUGUGAGAUGGUAUGUAAUUUUUGUUACAGCACUCGUUCGCUAAUUGCACGCGAUUUAGUUGCACUGCGUUUUAAUUGCACGUCCGUUAGUUGCACGAAAGUGCAAUUAAAAAGCAGUUUUGCGUCAAACUACACGUGGUUUUUGAAGCCAAUGUCUCUCUGUCAAGUUUUGCGAGGGAAUACUGAAUGCGCGAAAUAUUUAAUCAACUGAAAAUAAAUUCAAUAUUUUUAAUUUUGUUAUUUUAGAUUCCUGUUGUAUGUAAUAUAUAACAAAUAUACAUAAUCCCAUUGCACGUUUGCCCAAUUUGUUUUCAAUUAUAGUCGAUCUAAUUGAUUUCAAUUUGAUCACUUGUGUCGAAUUCUCACCGAAAUGUCGCAUUAAGCUGUCCACACGCUGAACAGCUUCUGAAAACUUGGGAUUCUCUGAAAUACAGUAAUGUUUGUUACACUCCAAGUAGAAGAGUCUGAAACUCGUGAACCAAGAUUUGGAAUUAAGGGCCUGAGCGUACUAGUCGGAUUACCAGAAUUUGACAUUAUAAAAGGUCUACCAGUUGAUUACAUGCACAUGGCACUUCUAGGAAUCACGCGAACAAUUUGGGAAAUAUUGGUGGAAAAUAGUAGCGGAAACAUUCAGCGAUUACGAAAUACAAGUAUUGUUAAAAAAAAAAUAGGCGACAGAUUUACAUCAAUUAGAUUACCAAGCUCGUUUUCACGACGCAUGCGGAAACCCGACGAAUAUCUUAAAUUUAAAGCAUCUGAAUGGGAGACUAUUCUAUUGCACUGCAUUUACCCAUGUUUAGCAGAUUUGUUACCUGCUACUUAUAUGAGUAACGUUAUGAUGUUUGCAACGGUUGUUUUUCUGUUACUAGAAAUAAACAUUUCGCGAAGCACGUUAUUAAAAUGUCAAAAACUAAUGAAUCAGUUUGUUGACGAUUUUGAGAAGCUGUAUGGAGAAUCUUUCAUGCUCUAUAAUGUGCAUCUAUCCGGUCACUUGGUACAGAAUGUUAGAAAUCUAGGGGCGUUGUGGAAUUCAUCACUCUUCCCGUAUGAAAACGGAACAGUAUGUUGAAAAGUUUUCAUACAUCUCACAAUCGUCCAGUUCUGCAACUUGCAACUAAAUACGUUUUGAAUAGAAUAGUGCACUACUCAUAUUCGCCAAGAACUCCAAUAGUCGAAGCCUUCACUGAAAAAAUAUGGAGUCAGCCAAGGAAAAAUGUAACAUAUAACCCAGCGUUGAAAUGUACGCUUCCAGAAGGUAUAACAUCGGAUAUCACAAUAGACAGAGAGGAGUUUAACUACACAGAACGAUGCUUUUAUAAUGGUAUCAAUAUAUGUACUAAAGUAUGGUGUGCUAAGUUUUCUUAUGACUUUUAUCAAAGUGAACGGCCUAUUUUAUAGCAUACAGCGCAUUCUAUUAGACUCCAAGGACAAAUUUUACAUUAUUGGAGAAAGACUGAAUGCAAAAAAAAAGUUUGACAACAUGUUUCUCUACGAAACUACUGGAUAUAACGAUUUAGUGAUUCUAAAUGAAUCAAUCCGACAGUGCGUAAGUGUAACAAUUAAUACUUUGGAAGAUUCUCAAACAAAAUAUAUUUCGGUGUGUAAAGUCAAGACACAAAUUGAAUGAAUUUUGUUGUAAUAUAUUUAACUAUGCUCAAUCGAAUACUAAUAUUAUCAAUUUCCAAAUUAUGGAUGAUCCUUGGUUGCUUUUUCCGAAAUUUAGUAUUUAGGUCAAAACAAUUUGAGAUACUAGCACUAAUGCAACCAAGGGCUCGAACGGCACGUGGAUUUAUAGUUCCCACCUCAAAACCGCUCUAGAUCCUGAUGAAAGUAAUGUGACUUGAAAACAUAAAUUUGUUUUUGUUUAGGGUAUGGCACACGAACUCAGGUCAAACAUAAUUUAUAGCCAAAACAUAACAGAUUUUGAUAUGAUAGCUGGAUGAGCUAUAAUUUUGUUCAACGCGCUGUGAGUAUAGUUCUGAGUUAUAACAUAUUUUGUUACUUCUUACAAACUUAGAUAUAAUUUUGAUAUGAGUUUGUUACGACUGUCUGAUCGGGUAGCCGUACCCACUAAUAUUAAAAUUCUACAGUGCCUUGUAUUAAAUCGACCAAUUAUAGAGGGCCGUCACUUUGACAAAACGUGUUCUAUCGUGUUCAAGGGUUAUGAUACAAAUGCUGAAGCGCUUGUUCAGCUACAAUUCAGUAUAUGUACAGUAGGGUGAGACAAAAAAUAAGUACUAGCUCCAAUGCACUUUUCGUGUUCCUUAUGGGUCCUGUAACAACUGUGUAACUUUUCAGAUCGAUCGGUGGAACCCCUGAUUUGCGCCCGAUUUUCAAAGUUUCCAUACGAUUUUAUAUGGGAAAAUCCACUUUUUCAAAACUUAUCCUCUAGAAAUUUCCAGUUGGCUCCUAAAAAUAUACCAAUACAUGAUAUUUGUAGGAAAUUUUCCUGGGAACAAUUCUUCUGAAGACUGUAAGGCGCUACAAAAUUUGUAGAAAAAGUUAUUCACCUUAAACUGAUCGAAUGUCUGACGAACGGCUCAACAUUGAAUUUUUCCAGCAACACUGCUGCAGCAUGCUGCUGUUGCAAACUCAACAACGUGAUGAGAAACAGUUUCGCGUAGAAUUAAGCUUGAAAGCGUGAUUUUUUGCUGAUAGUAUCUUCGGAGAAAAUGCUUAGAAUAUCAAUCCCUAUAUUCUGAUAGUAUUCGUGAUGUGAUUUAUACCCCUAAAAGUGAGAAAUCAGCUUUCUAAACAUCCCUACGUAGUGAAAAACAUUUUCGUGUGGGAUUAAGCUUGAAGGUAUGAUAUUUUGCUCACGUUAUCUUCAUUAUCGGAGAGCUUGCUUAAAAUAUUAAUUAUUAAGUUUUAAUGUAGAUUGAUUACUCCCCCUAAAAGAGGGAAGUAAACUUUCUAAACACCCACGACCUCAGACAACAUUUUGAAUUGUGAGAUGGCGACUUCCGGUGACUGGAUAAGACGUAAAUGACCGAAUACCACAUAAUAUGGGUGUUUCUUUAACCAGAAUGACGCUCAGAGGCCAGAAAUUGUCUCUGAAUACCAUUUUGAAAUCCAGGAUGGUGACUUCCGGUUUCUGAAAAACAGCGAGAUAUGACCAAAUACCACCCAAUAUGGGUAUUUCCGAAAUCGUGACGAUGCAUUGAAACCACUAAUCGACCUCAGACAACAUUUUGAGUUGUAAAAUGGCAACUUUUGGUGACUGGAAAACUGCCGAAAAUGACCCAAAAACAACCAAAUAUGCACGCAAAAUUUGGAUGGUGCGAAACUACAACUACUACAACUAAACAGUUUCAACUGGUAUCAAGCAGCAUUGCAAAGCGAGCGAGAAGCAAAACCAUUCUCCUCCUUUCUGCUUGAGGACGAGACAUAUGCUACGCUUUUCAAGUCUUUUGCACACACGCUUUCGAGAUACUUUUUCUUCUUCAUGCAUUCCUCUGAAUAUCAGCAAGCACUACAUCCUAUGAUAAAUUGAACAAUUGUCCUUUAUAAGGACAACAAAUGAAUUAAUGAAGAUUUAAUUUUGAAGUAGAAUACUUCUCUCAGGAAGUUCGGCUACAUAGGGAUGUGAUAUGAAAAUCUAAAACUGCAAAAAGUGAGAAAAAUUUCAAGUGCUAAUAAAUCGGUUAGUUUUCGAUGGAUUUCCUUCGUUUUUGCAGUAAUCGAUUAGAAAAUCUUCUAAGAUUCCAACUAAAUGCAUGAAAUUGCAAUUUUAUCAUUCGAACUAUUGUACUAUUGAAAACUCUUAAGCCUUGUCAAAACACAAAAUUCGACCUCUGAUUGGUCGGUAUACCGCGCUUUUCCAAGCACGGUCGGCAGAGUUAUGGACUUAGUAAAUUGGGAAUGCAUCAUUUGGCCUAUAUAAGAGCUUCAUCAGAUAAUAAACAAACAUUUUAUCGGAUAUUAAAUUGAACAACUGAAAUUUGAAGAACACAAAUGAUUAUUUGAAGAGUUAAUAUUUUCCCGUUUUGCGCUAUAAUCCAAAGUUAAUUAUCUACAUCUACAUGCAUACUCCGAUUAUUGUUACGUGUUUGCGUCGCUUAGUGUUUGGCUACGGUCAUGCAAAAUGCAAAUAACGGCGCGAUGCGAUUCGGCAAGACGAAAUCUGUUGAAAUGUAUAGCUCUACUUCGCCUUAAAAAGAGUUGUACAUUUCACCACAGUAAGACGAAGCGCAUCGCGCCGGCAUUCGCGUUCUGCAUAACCGUAGCCUUUGUUCCGUUCCCGUUUAAUGAUGUCGUAUUAAAUGUGCAUAUUACAAUUCGGCAGCACUUCAACUUCUCAUUUGCACAAAAUUUAAAAAUAUCCAAUGAACUUCAUUCAAAAUAUCAAACAAAAAGAAAUUACAAUGCUGCCAAUGAACGGUCAACGUUUAUUAACUAGAAAAAAUGACUGACACGCAAGCAGCCGUGUUAUUAUUCUUGUAAAAGCAUCUACUGUCUUCUUCUUCCUCACCUGUGAAUACCUCAUUGGUUCGUAGUGACCUGCUGGCCAUGUAUCUGCGCAAAUUGUAGCUAUGUAUCUACAAAACUCCUUUCUGAAGGACACCAGGGUAUGAUCUAUUGAAUUGGCACCAGAACCCAAGUUGUAACACGAGGUGGGUGUUUAGAAAGUUUAUUUCCCUCUUUUAGGGGGAGUAAUCAAUCUACAUUAAAACUUAAUAAUUAAUAUUUUAAGCAAGCUCUCCGAUAAUGAAGAUAACGUGAGCAAAAUAUCAUACCUUCAAGCUUAAUCCCACACGAAAAUGUUUUUCACUACGUAGGGAUGUUUAGAAAGCUGAUUUCUCACUUUUAGGGGUAUGAAACACACAACGAAUACUAUCAAAAUAUAGGGAUUGAUAUUCUAAGCAUUUUCUCCGAAGAUACUAUGAGCAAAAAAUCACGCUUUCAACCUUAAUUCUACGCGAAACUGUUUCUCAUCACGUUGUUGAGUUUGCAACAGCAGCAUGCUGCAGCAGUGAUGCUGGAAAAAUUCAAUGUUGAGCCGUUCGUCAGACAUUCGAUCAGUUUAAGGUGAAUAACUUUUUCUACAAAUUUUGUAGCGCCUUACAGUCUUCAGAAGAAUUGUUCCCAGGAAAAUUUCCUACAAAUAUCAUGUAUUGGUAUAUUUUUAGGAGCCAACUGGAAAUUUCUAGAGGAUAAGUUUUGAAAAAGUGGAUUUUCCCAUAUAAAAUCGUAUGGAAACUUUAAAAAUCGGGCGCAAAUCAGGGGUUCCACCGAUCGAUCUGAAAAGUUACACAGGUAUUACAGGACCCAUAAGGAACACGAAAAGUGCAUUGGAGCGAAAAAAAUACACCAACGCUUUUUUCCCAUACAACUGUGUCCCAGUCUAAUGUACAGUCAAUGUAAAAUUGUUUAUGAAAUAAACUAGAAAUAUAUAUACGGGUUAAAUCGAUACGUAUGCAUGUAUGUCAAGAUAGACGAAUCGGUACCGCGUUCUACCGAGAACCUCAUGAGCAGCAUGAGUUCGAGAUUUGAGACUGGCAGUAGUAAAUUAAUUGGAUACUAAAAAGGUAAUUUUCACUAACAAUAAUAUAAAAAUAAACGAUGAAAAAUACACACAAAAAUGCAAAACAUCGAAAGAUUUAGAUGUGUUCGAAUCGCCUAAGCAAAAAAGAAUUGUCUAAUUCAGACUAUUAUAUAUUUUAAAUCAUAGCUGUAAUAAAGCUAAAAAAGCACUUAUAUAGACUAUAAGCCAGCUACUUUUUUUUUUAUUCUCGCUUAUUUUCCGUCGGUCUAGUUCCGCCACUGUUGUGGCCAAUCACCGACGCCCAGGGAGGCGACUCCACACCCAGGACCCUAACUCACGACUACUGUUGGCUGUAAAAGAGUUUUUCUACAAGCUUUACAAAGAAUGAAUAAUCGCUUCUACAGAAUCGAUCAGCAUGUAUAAAAGUCGUUAAAUGGCUGCGUUAUUUCAUAUUAAGCCCGUGUUCGGCUAUUUAGGAAGCCGAAUGUAACAGAUAGCUGAUUUAGUUCUCCAAAACCGACUGAUUAAAAGCUGAUUAAACACUUAGAAAUACAUUAUUCGACCUAUGUUCAGCCGUCAGCUGAAUAAGAUUAGUUAUAAAAGCGCUUAUUUAGCCAAAAAAUGUUUUUUGGGUAAUUUCUAGCCUAGAACUAUCUUUCCCCUAAUAUUUAAUCUCAUUUCCUU
This is a long non-coding RNA of Wyeomyia smithii (pitcher-plant mosquito), 11682 nucleotides long. RefSeq lists it as uncharacterized. The transcript has 3 exons. The record is from RefSeq and is a predicted model, not a curated record. Lineage: Eukaryota; Metazoa; Arthropoda; Insecta; Diptera; Culicidae.